AAAGGUAACCAGUGUUGGAUCCCCUAGAGUUUGAUCCCCGCCCCUAUAGUUUGGGAUAACUCCCGGAAACCGGGGCUAAUACCGAAUAAUCUCUUUUGCUUCAUGGUGAAAGACUGAAAGACGGUUUCGGCUGUCGCUAUAGGAUGGGCCCGCGGCGCAUUAGCUAGUUGGUGAGGUAACGGCUCACCAAGGCGACGAUGCGUAGCCGACCUGAGAGGGUGAUCGGCCACACUGGGACUGAGACACGGCCCAGACUCCUACGGGAGGCAGCAGUAGGGAAUCUUCCACAAUGGGCGAAAGCCUGAUGGAGCCACUCCCCGUGAGUUAAUAAGGUUUUCAGACUCGCACAACUCAUGAUGAAAGGGAGAGAACACUUCCCCUCGUCACCUGGCUGUCACCUUGCCCGAUACCUUGAUUAGAAAAUCCACGGGUAAGCUGACGCGGCCAGCAACCGAGGGUAAUCGCGUCAGGUUGCCAGACGACAUGUGCCGAAGAUGACGUGCAGCGGACAGGGCCGGCGGCAGGCGUGCUCACUAGUAUGGCCACGACGCGCAAUGGCCCGGCAGCUUGACACGUACGCAGGUGGCUACCGUGGGGUUAAGUUCGGCAACGAGCGCAACCCUGUCUUAGUUGCCAUCAUUUAGUUGGGCACUCUAAGGUUACUGCCGGUGACAAACCGGAGGAAGGUGGGGAUGACGUCAAAUCAUCAUGCCCCUUAUGACCUGGGCUACACACGUGCUACAAUGGACGAUACAAACGGUUGCCAACUCGCGAGAGGGAGCUAAUCCGAUAAAGUCGUUCUCAGUUCGGAUUGUAGGCUGCAACUCGCCUAACAUGAAGCCGGAAUCAGCUAGUAAUGCGUCGCAUUUGAGCGUCGUUAACGUGGGUAUCAAGGGUAACCCGUACUGGACCCUACUAGAGUUUAUCCCUGGCUCCAAAAUGUGUAAGCAAGGUAACCCAGUAUUGAUCCCGUGCGGCCCC
Molecule: ribosomal RNA, 981 nt
Filed under: Lysinibacillus fusiformis
Lineage: Bacteria; Bacillati; Bacillota; Bacilli; Caryophanales; Bacillaceae
Description: partial 16S ribosomal RNA
Rfam family: Bacterial small subunit ribosomal RNA
Source: RNAcentral